This 360-nucleotide ribosomal RNA is filed under the name uncultured eukaryote. Its description in RNAcentral is "partial 18S ribosomal RNA". It matches the Rfam family "Eukaryotic small subunit ribosomal RNA", at positions 592 to 976 of the family's 1831-position model. The record is from RNAcentral.
CAAUAGCAUAUAUUAACGUUGUUGCAGUUGAAAAGCUCGUAGUUGAACUUUUGGUAGGAGCGACCUGGCCUUGGGCGCAUGCCCUUGUUUGCCGUGUGUCGUAUCUGGCCAUCCUUUUCCGCUUCGGCGGGAAUCCUUUACUGUGAGUAAACUGGAGUGCUCAAAACAAGACGUUUGUUUGGUACAUUAAAGCAUGGAAUAAUAAGAUAGGACCUGGUUACUAUUUUGUUGGUUUGCAUAGCUAGGUAAUGAUUAACAGGGACAGUUGGGGGUAUUCGUAUUUAAUUGUCAGAGGUGAAAUUCUUGGAUUUAUGAAAGACGAACGACUGCGAAAGCAUUUACCAAGGAUGUAUUCAUUAA